CGAUGCGUGACCCCAGAUUUUUUCUUUCGUCGGUCGGUGCUUUGGAUCGACGGUCAGACGGUGCUCCAUGACUUUCGUGUCAAUCCCCGGCAUGUCCACUGGGACCCAAGCAAAAAUAUCUGCAUUCUUACGUAGAAAAUCGAUGAGAUGCGUCCGCACCUCUUCCCCCAGGUUGGAGCCGAUCUUCACCACAUGCUCCGCAUUUUUGUCGUUCAAAGGGAUCGAAACCAGAUCUUCGAUUGGGCCGCCCCUCUCCUCUGCGAGGUCGUCGCGGGCGUCCAGCCCAUCAACUGGACAG
Molecule: long non-coding RNA, 298 nt
Filed under: Elaeis guineensis (African oil palm)
Lineage: Eukaryota; Viridiplantae; Streptophyta; Magnoliopsida; Arecales; Arecaceae
Description: long non-coding RNA (EGUI_LNC048708)
Source: RNAcentral